GACGAACGCUGGCGGCGUGCUUAACACAUGCAAGUCGAACGGAAAGGCCCUGCUUUUGUGGGGUGCUCGGGUGGCGAACGGGUGAGUAACACGUGAGUAACCUGCCCUUGACUUUGGGAUAACUUCAGGAAACUGGGGCUAAUACCGGAUAGGAGCUCCUGCUGCAUGGUGGGGGUUGGAAAGUUUCGGCGGUUGGGGAUGGACUCGCGGCUUAUCAGCUUGUUGGUGGGGUAGUGGCUUACCAAGGCUUUGACGGGUAGCCGGCCUGAGAGGGUGACCGGCCACAUUGGGACUGAGAUACGGCCCAGACUCCUACGGGAGGCAGCAGUGGGGAGUAUUGCACAAUGGGCGGAAGCCUGAUGCAGCAACGCCGCGUGCGGGAUGACGGCCUUCGGGUUGUAAACCGCUUUCGCCUGUGACGAAGCGUGAGUGACGGUAAUGGGUAAAGAAGCACCGGCUAACUACGUG
This 468-nucleotide ribosomal RNA is filed under the name uncultured bacterium. RNAcentral describes it as "partial 16S ribosomal RNA". It matches the Rfam family "Bacterial small subunit ribosomal RNA", at positions 28 to 507 of the family's 1533-position model. The record is from RNAcentral.